RNAcentral lists this long non-coding RNA (298 nucleotides) under Prunus dulcis (almond). RNAcentral's name for it is "sRNA ncRNA". The record is from RNAcentral. Lineage: Eukaryota; Viridiplantae; Streptophyta; Magnoliopsida; Rosales; Rosaceae.
CCUUCCCAAAAUUAAAUCCAUACGGCACUGGUUCACUAUAGGCAAUUAAAAAACAGCUUAAUUGGUACACAGAAGGUGAUACACAAACAAAAUUGAUGCAUACAUAAAAGUAAAAGACCUAACUGCACAAGACUUGGAAAGAGCCUCAAAUGCACAAGACUCAGCCUCAGCCUAUACAAUCAAACUCUCCCAGAAGGCCCAAUUGCCUGGAAGUACAAGAUGGUUAGUCUUGGAAAGAGCCAUGAAAUGGGGAAAAAGAAGCUACCUUGCAACAAUGGCUAAAAUCACAGCAGACGCA